Molecule: long non-coding RNA, 763 nt
Organism: Musa acuminata subsp. malaccensis (wild Malaysian banana)
Lineage: Eukaryota; Viridiplantae; Streptophyta; Magnoliopsida; Zingiberales; Musaceae
Source: RefSeq, a predicted model, not a curated record
UCGGUAAUCGGGGCUCCAGCGUUGAACGGCGACGGAGACGGGUGUUCGAACCAGAAGCGGUCCCGAGGUCUGCGAGGUCGUCGCCGAAGUCCGCGAGAAGGCCAUCGACCCCUUCCGCAUCUCAGGUGAUGGAACCUAUGCAAUGAAGUGAUCAUUCAAUCCCAGGAGCAGUCGGAAUUGAUCAGGCACGAGAUCUGUGUCUGUUCUCUGUUCGGUCAUCAUUAAGAUAUAAUUCGACGUUAAUCACUAUCAACCCAGACUGUUAAACAAAGAGAAGUGCAUGGUCACCAAUGAGCUAAACAUCGUAAUGAACCUUUACGUCGAAAGCCACUUUCUGUUGGUGAUUUCCUGUUUCAGACUCCUCAUAUUCUUGCAUUGAAUCGCCUUUUGGUGGUGACUCAAGUUGUCUGAAAUUGAUAUUUCAAAUCCGAAGGUGAUCGAUGGGUAGAUUAUCAUUGGUUGAAGUAGCACGAAGAAUCAAAUCAAGUGCUCAUUGACUCAAUCCUGAUAUUGGAACUUGGAAGUGCAUCAGACAUAUUAUUGGAGUGCUAUGCUUGACAAACAAGAUUGAUCCAUCUGAAUCCAUUAUCAGAUGGUAGAUAUCACAAUCAGUUUUUGCUAGUUAUGCUGUUUAUAUUCUAUUCUAACAGUUAUGCUGAAAAUUACAUCCAAGAGUAUCUUUUCAUCUUUUAACUCUUGACUACCCCAGUCUGUUCUAAUUUGUACACCUAAUCGAUAUUUUCUUGUAUUUGAGUCUUUUAAA